AGCUUGCUGGGUGGAUUAGUGGCGAACGGGUGAGUAACACGUGAGUAACCUGCCCUUAACUCUGGGAUAAGCCUGGGAAACUGGGUCUAAUACCGGAUAGGAGCGUCUACCGCAUGGUGGGUGUUGGAAAGAUUUAUCGGUUUUGGAUGGACUCGCGGCCUAUCAGCUUGUUGGUGAGGUAAUGGCUCACCAAGGCGACGACGGGUAGCCGGCCUGAGAGGGUGACCGGCCACACUGGGACUGAGACACGGCCCAGACUCCUACGGGAGGCAGCAGUGGGGAAUAUUGCACAAUGGGCGCAAGCCUGAUGCAGCGACGCCGCGUGAGGGAUGACGGCCUUCGGGUUGUAAACCUCUUUCAGUAGGGAAGAAGCGAAAGUGACGGUACCUGCAGAAGAAGCACCGGCUAACUACGUGCCAGCAGCCGCGGUAAUACGUAGGGUGCGAGCGUUAUCCGGAAUUAUUGGGCGUAAAGAGCUCGUAGGCGGUUUGUCGCGUCUGUCGUGAAAGUCCGGGGCUUAACCCCGGAUCUGCGGUGGGUACGGGCAGACUAGAGUGCAGUAGGGGAGACUGGAAUUCCUGGUGUAGCGGUGGAAUGCGCAGAUAUCAGGAGGAACACCGAUGGCGAAGGCAGGUCUCUGGGCUGUAACUGACGCUGAGGAGCGAAAGCAUGGGGAGCGAACAGGAUUAGAUACCCUGGUAGUCCAUGCCGUAAACGUUGGGCACUAGGUGUGGGGACCAUUCCACGGUUUCCGCGCCGCAGCUAACGCAUUAAGUGCCCCGCCUGGGGAGUACGGCCGCAAGGCUAAAACUCAAAGGAAUUGACGGGGGCCCGCACAAGCGGCGGAGCAUGCGGAUUAAUUCGAUGCAACGCGAAGAACCUUACCAAGGCUUGACAUGUUCUCGAUCGCCGUAGAGAUACGGUUUCCCCUUUGGGGCGGGUUCACAGGUGGUGCAUGGUUGUCGUCAGCUCGUGUCGUGAGAUGUUGGGUUAAGUCCCGCAACGAGCGCAACCCUCGUUCCAUGUUGCCAGCACGUCAUGGUGGGGACUCAUGGAAAACUGCCGGGGUCAACUCCGAAGAAAGGUAAGGACGACGUCAAAUCAUCAUGCCCCUUAUGUCUUGGGCUUCACG
This is a ribosomal RNA of 1132 nucleotides. It matches the Rfam family "Bacterial small subunit ribosomal RNA", at positions 77 to 1220 of the family's 1533-position model.